RNAcentral lists this ribosomal RNA (465 nucleotides) under Desertella sp. MM-2015. Its description in RNAcentral is "SSU rRNA". It matches the Rfam family "Eukaryotic small subunit ribosomal RNA", at positions 89 to 558 of the family's 1831-position model. The record is from RNAcentral. Lineage: Eukaryota; Fungi; Ascomycota; Pezizomycetes; Pezizales; Pyronemataceae.
GCGAAUGGCUCAUUAAAUCAGUUAUCGUUUAUUUGAUAGUACCUUACUACUUGGAUAACCGUGGUAAUUCUAGAGCUAAUACAUGCUAAAAAUCCCGACCUCUGGAAGGGAUGUAUUUAUUAGAUAAAAAACCAAUGCCUUCGGGCUCCUUGGUGAUUCAUGAUAACUUUACGAAUCGCAUGGCCUUGUGCCGGCGAUGGUUCAUUCAAAUUUCUGCCCUAUCAACUUUCGAUGGUAGGAUAGUGGCCUACCAUGGUUUCAACGGGUAACGGGGAAUUAGGGUUCUAUUCCGGAGAGGGAGCCUGAGAAACGGCUACCACAUCCAAGGAAGGCAGCAGGCGCGCAAAUUACCCAAUCCCGACACGGGGAGGUAGUGACAAUAAAUACUGAUACAGGGCCCUUUCGGGUCUUGUAAUCGGAAUGAGUACAAUUUAAAUCCCUUAACGAGGAACAAUUGGAGGGCAA